RNAcentral lists this ribosomal RNA (460 nucleotides) under uncultured bacterium. RNAcentral's name for it is "partial 16S ribosomal RNA". It matches the Rfam family "Bacterial small subunit ribosomal RNA", at positions 338 to 795 of the family's 1533-position model. The record is from RNAcentral.
CCUACGGGAGGCAGCAGUGAGGAAUAUUGGUCAAUGGACGCAAGUCUGAACCAGCCAUGCCGCGUGCAGGAAGACGGCUCUAUGAGUUGUAAACUGCUUUUGUACGAGGGUAAACGCAGAUACGCGUAUCUGUCUGAAAGUAUCGUACGAAUAAGGAUCGGCUAACUCCGGGCCAGCAGCCGCGGUAAUACGGAGGAUUCAAGCGUUAUCCGGAUUUAUUGGGUUUAAAGGGUGCGUAGGCGGUCGGAUAAGUUAGAGGUGAAAUCCCGAGGCUCAACUUCGGAAUUGCCUCUGAUACUGUUCGUCUAGAGAGUAGUUGCGGUAGGCGGAAUGUAUGGUGUAGCGGUGAAAUGCUUAGAGAUCAUACAGAACACCGAUUGCGAAGGCAGCUUACCAAGCUACUUCUGACGUUGAGGCACGAAAGCGUGGGGAGCAAACAGGAUUAGAUACCCGGGUAGUC